Long non-coding RNA from Orcinus orca (killer whale), 185 nucleotides. RefSeq lists it as uncharacterized. The record is from RefSeq and is a predicted model, not a curated record. Lineage: Eukaryota; Metazoa; Chordata; Mammalia; Artiodactyla; Delphinidae. The transcript has 2 exons.
AAAUCUUAGAAGUAAACAUAGGCAUAAAUCUUUGCGUCUUUGGAUUAGGCAAUGGUUUCCUAGCUAUGACACCAAAAGCACACGCAGCAGAAGAAAAAAUAGAUACACUGGACAUCAUCAAAAUUAAAAAUUUUUCCACAUAGUGUACGAUUCCAUUUAUAUGAAACGUUCAGAACAGGCAAGUC